GGGGAAUAAUGAGAUUUGGAAUCUGUUGUAGGAGGACUACCAAAUAAAAGAUCCACAGGCAAUUCUGGUUCCCUGCCCAACAUCAUUAAACUUGGACUGGUUCCUAUGCUCUCAUGAACUGAAGAUCUGUAUGCUAAUAGUACAAAAGGAGUUCUGUUCAAGGGACCUACAAUGUCUAGAGCAACUCUUUCCAAAGGAGCACCAACAAUAUAUUGUUUCAUUGGAGCUUUAGGAGUGCAGGUUGUCGGAUGACUGGAUUGACAGGGUUGACAUUCUUGGCAAAAUUUUGCCACUGAUUGUUUAUUUCCAACCCAUUAAAACCUCUGUCUGACUUUGGCUAAAGUUCGGUUCACUCCUAAGUGUCCACUUGUAGGGUCACUAUGCAACAUUGUUAGGACCUGAGGUAUGUACUUUUCAGCCUUUUGAGAAAAAUGACGCAACUCAUCAUCACUAGAAAAUGGGGUAGCAGCAUGCACCACUUGCAUUCUGACCCCUCCAUGUUUUUGAAAAACUCUGUGCUUCCUACCAUUUUGGAAGGCUUCAAAUUCAAGAGCAAGUUGGACAGCAUCUUCAACAAACUUUGGUUUACCGUGGUGGACUGCCCAUUCAAUUUCAUGGUCAUUCAGUGAAUCAAUAAAACAGUCACGAGCCAAUUGUUCUCGUACUUCAGAUGAUGCAUCUGGAUAUGCAUAUCUAACCAACUUUUUAAUUUCAUGAGAAAGGUUUCUUCAGAUCCUUAAAAAUCAUCUCACCCGCACACUCAGCAGUACGCUCUUGACCCUGAGGGCUGUGAGAUGGAGACAGAGCCAUUCCCUGGGCUGCAGGUUGGGCGGACCUUGACCAUGCGUCCAUGGUCGAAUGUGAACAUGCGCCAAUAGGCGGCUUAUCCAUCGAGGAAUCUUGAGCGGACUUACCUGCCGUCUCACCUGAUGGUCUCCCAGGAUAAUUAUUCUCUUGCGAACAUACCUGACCAUUUAUGACAGUAUUGAACUUAGCCCUCUGAGAAAAAACAUGAUUUCAUCUGACAUGUGUCAGGACCAAAGGAAUCAGCCUCAACUAAAUUAUCAGUGGAACCAAGCUCGUAUGAACGCGCACAUCUAUUUGAAGUACCCAGACCACCCGAGUGUAUCCUAUUGUUAACUGACGGUGACGUCUGGACGUCAGAAAACGAUACAAGUGAAUUCCGUCUGGAAUCGCAACUCCGUGGCCCUUUAGUACUAACUAUGGUUUCCAAAAUGUUCACCCUUUCCACCAACGUAGUACUCAGCUCACUGAUCUGACUUUGAAUGCUCUUCAGGCAUUCCGACAAAGAAUCACUAUAAUUUGUACUGACUCCAGACAUUGUUCUGGAACACUGUGUAGAUUCAGAUUGCUCACUUUUCUCAAACAAAUUAGAUUUUACAUUAAAUUGUACUUCCCCACUGGGAGUGGCAUCUAAGGUAAUAAG
Saccostrea echinata is the source of this 1447-nucleotide long non-coding RNA. RefSeq lists it as uncharacterized. The transcript has 4 exons. The record is from RefSeq and is a predicted model, not a curated record. Lineage: Eukaryota; Metazoa; Mollusca; Bivalvia; Ostreida; Ostreidae.